GAUGAAGAACGUAGCGAAAUGCGAUAAGUAAUGCGAAUUGCAGAAUCCGUGAAUCAUCGAAUCUUUGAACGCACAUUGCGCCCGGUAGUAUUCUGCCGGGCAUGCCUGUUCGAGCGUCAUUUCAACCAUCAAGCCCCAGCGCUUGUGUUGGGGGCCUGCGGCUGCCGCAGCCCCCUAAAAGCAGUGGCGGGCUCGCUAUCACACCGAGUGCAGUAGUUCAUCUUCUCUCCGGUCUUGUGAGGCGGGUUCCGGCCGUGAAACACCCCACUACAUUCAAGGUUGACCUCGGAUCAGGUAGGAAUACCCGCUGAACUUAAGCAUAUCAAUAAGCGGAGGA
RNAcentral lists this unclassified non-coding RNA (337 nucleotides) under soil metagenome. Its description in RNAcentral is "partial contains 5.8S ribosomal RNA, internal transcribed spacer 2, and large subunit ribosomal RNA". The stretch from base 1 to 119 matches the Rfam family "5.8S ribosomal RNA", at positions 35 to 154 of the family's 154-position model. The record is from RNAcentral.